RNAcentral lists this ribosomal RNA (945 nucleotides) under uncultured bacterium. RNAcentral's name for it is "bacterial SSU rRNA". It matches the Rfam family "Bacterial small subunit ribosomal RNA", at positions 522 to 1478 of the family's 1533-position model. The record is from RNAcentral.
AAUACGAAGGGACCUAGCGUAGUUCGGAAUUACUGGGCUUAAAGAGUUCGUAGGUGGUUAAAAUAGUUGGUGGUGAAAUCCCAGAGCUUAACUCUGGAACUGCCAUCAAAACUUUUUAGCUAGAGUAUGAUAGAGGAAAGCAGAAUUUCUAGUGUAGAGGUGAAAUUCGUAGAUAUUAGAAAGAAUACCAAUUGCGAAGGCAGCUUUCUGGAUCAUUACUGACACUGAGGAACGAAAGCAUGGGUAGCGAAGAGGAUUAGAUACCCUCGUAGUCCAUGCCGUAAACGAUGUGUGUUAGAUGUUGGAAAUUUAUUUUCAGUAUCGCAGCGAAAGCGUUAAACACACCGCCUGGGGAGUACGACCGCAAGGUUAAAACUCAAAUGAAUUGACGGGGACCCGCACAAGUAGUGGAGCAUGUGGUUUAAUUCGAAGAUACGCGCAGAACCUUACCAACACUUGACAUGUUUGUCGCGACUUUAAGAGAUUAAAGUCUUCGGUUCGGCCGGACAAAACACAGGUGCUGCAUGGCUGUCGUCAGCUCGUGUCGUGAGAUGUUGGGUUAAGUCCCGCAACGAGCACAACCCUCACUUUUAGUUGCCAUCAUUUAGUUGGGCACUCUGAAAGAACUGCCAGUGAUAAGCUGGAGGAAGGUGGGGAUGACGUCAAGUCCUCAUGGCCCUUACGUGUUGGGCUACACACGUGCUACAAUGGCAUUUACAAUAGGAAGCAAGAUGGCGACAUCAAGCAAAUCCUAAAAAAAUGCCUCAGUUCGGAUUGUACUCUGCAACUCGAGUACAUGAAGCUGGAAUUACUAGUAAUCGCGGAUCAGUGCGCCGCGGUGAAUACGUUCCCGGGUCUUGUACACACCGCCCGUCACACCAUGGGAGUUGGUUCUACCUUAAGGCAAAGUAUAAAACCUUUGACCACGGUAUAGUCAGCGACUGG